Molecule: ribosomal RNA, 420 nt
Filed under: uncultured bacterium
Lineage: Bacteria
Description: partial 16S ribosomal RNA
Rfam family: Bacterial small subunit ribosomal RNA
Source: RNAcentral
CCUACGGGAGGCAGCAGUGAGGAAUAUUGGUCAAUGGGCGCGAGCCUGAACCAGCCAAGUCGCGUGAGGGAGGACGGCCCUACGGGUUGUAAACCUCUUUUGCCGGGGAGCAACUGGCGGCACGUGUGGCGCCACGGAGAGGACCCGGAGAAAAAGCGGCGGCGAACUCCGUGCCAGCAGCCGCGGUAAUACGGAGGAUGCGAGCGUUAUCCGGAUUUAUUGGGUUUAACGGGUGCGUAGGCGGAUCGUUAAGUCAGUGGUCAAAUUGAGGGGCUCAACCCCUUCCCGCCAUUGAAACUGGCGCUCUUCAGUGGAAGAGACGUAUGCGGCAUGCGUGGUGUCGCGGUGACAUGCAUAGAUAUCACGCAGAACCCCGAUUGCGAAGGCAGCAUGCCGGCUUCCGACUGCCGCUGACGCACG